GAAACAUUUCAAUAACUAUUGAGGAGUCAUUGAGGUGAUCGGCGUGGAUAAUUGGAGGUUUUUGUGACACUAAAAAUGGGUCUCCACUCAUUUUCAGAGAGCACGUGUGUGGGACGCUUCCAUCUACAAACCUCCAUAUCCUGACAACUACCAUUCGUAGAGAUUCCCUGAAACUUUAUCAGAUGUGGAGAAUCUGGUCUGUGAUAAUUGAGUGGACUUCAGCCUCGUUUGAAUGAGCAUCGAGACCUUGGAGUGAUGCCAAAUAAUGAGCAAUGAUGAUUAAUUUUUUUUUAUUCCGGUAAAGAGAGUUCAUCAACCGUCGCAGCAUUUGCAAAGCUGUUAUCAGGAUUUAGAAACAUUUACAGCGAUUACGACAGGUUAAUGUUCUUCAGAAACAAUAAGACUAUUAGAAUAAUUGCUCAUUUUUAUUAUUAUAUUUCAUUAAAUAUGUGUUUCUCCCCGAUGAGCAGAAAAUA
Molecule: long non-coding RNA, 476 nt
Organism: Fopius arisanus
Lineage: Eukaryota; Metazoa; Arthropoda; Insecta; Hymenoptera; Braconidae
Exons: 3
Source: RefSeq, a predicted model, not a curated record